UGGGGAAUAUUGGACAAUGGGGGGAACCCUGAUCCAGCCAUGCCGCGUGUGUGAAGAAGGCCUUAUGGUUGUAAAGCACUUUAAGCGAGGAGGAGGGUACUGGUAUUAAUACUACCAGGUACUGGACGUUACUCGCAGAAUAAGCACCGGCUAACUCUGUGCCAGCAGCCGCGGUAAUACAGAGGGUGCGAGCGUUAAUCGGAUUUACUGGGCGUAAAGCGUGCGUAGGCGGCUAAUUGAGUCGGAUGUGAAAUCCCCGAGCUUAACUUGGGAAUUGCAUUCGAUACUGGUUAGCUAGAGUGUGGGAGAGGAUGGUAGAAUUCCAGGUGUAGCGGUGAAAUGCGUAGAGAUCAGGAGGAAUACCGAUGGCGAAGGCAGCCAUCUGGCCUAACACUGACGCUGAGGUACGAAAGCAUGGGGAGCAAACAGG
This 430-nucleotide ribosomal RNA is filed under the name Pseudomonadota bacterium. RNAcentral describes it as "Proteobacteria bacterium partial 16S ribosomal RNA". It matches the Rfam family "Bacterial small subunit ribosomal RNA", at positions 355 to 776 of the family's 1533-position model. Lineage: Bacteria; Pseudomonadati; Pseudomonadota. The record is from RNAcentral.